UUUUGGGUCCUGUACAACGAUAGCCCGCCGAACCCCGUCAGGACCGGAAGGUAGCAGCGGCAGGCGACGUCGUCGUGUGAUACAGCAACGCCUGAAUGGG
Molecule: signal recognition particle RNA, 100 nt
Filed under: FCB group bacterium
Lineage: Bacteria; Pseudomonadati
Description: signal recognition particle sRNA small type
Rfam family: Bacterial small signal recognition particle RNA
About the family: The signal recognition particle (SRP) is a universally conserved ribonucleoprotein involved in the co-translational targeting of proteins to membranes. Archaeal SRP consists of a 7S RNA and homologues of the eukaryotic SRP19 and SRP54 proteins.
Source: RNAcentral